RNAcentral lists this ribosomal RNA (429 nucleotides) under Chloroflexota bacterium. RNAcentral's name for it is "Chloroflexi bacterium partial 16S ribosomal RNA". It matches the Rfam family "Bacterial small subunit ribosomal RNA", at positions 355 to 776 of the family's 1533-position model. The record is from RNAcentral. Lineage: Bacteria; Bacillati; Chloroflexota.
UGGGGAAUAUUGCACAAUGGGCGCAAGCCUGAUGCAGCCAUGCCGCGUGUGUGAAGAAGGCCUUCGGGUUGUAAAGCACUUUCAGCGGGGAAGAAGGCGAUAAGGUUAAUAACCGCAUCGAUUGACGUUACCCGCAGAAGAAGCACCGGCUAACUCCGUGCCAGCAGCCGCGGUAAUACGUAGGGUGCAAGCGUUAAUCGGAAUGACUGGGCGUAAAACGCACGCAGGCGGUAUGUCAAGUCGGAUGUGAAAUCCACCGGCUCAACCUGGGAACUGCAUUCGAAACUGGCAGGCUAGAGUCUUGUAGAGGGGGGUAGAAUUCCAGGUGUAGCGGUGAAAUGCGUAGAGAUCAGGAGGAAUACCGGUGGCGAAGGCGGCCUCCUAGACAAAGACUGACGCUGAGGUGCGAAAGCGAGGGGAGCAAACAGG